Molecule: ribosomal RNA, 253 nt
Filed under: uncultured bacterium
Lineage: Bacteria
Description: partial 16S ribosomal RNA
Rfam family: Bacterial small subunit ribosomal RNA
Source: RNAcentral
UACAGAGGCCUCGAGCGUUAGGCGGAAUCACUGGGCUUAAAGCGUGUGUAGGCGGACCCCUAAGUACCUUGUGAAAUCCCACGGCUCACCCGUGGAACGGCUGGGUAUACUGGGGGUCUUGAGCCACCUAGGGGCGAGUGGAACAAAUGGUGGAGCGGUGAAAUGCGUAGAUAUCAGGAGGAACACCUGCGGUGUAGACGGCUUUCUGGACCAUUGUUGACGCUGAGACACGAAAGCGUGGGUAGCAAACAGG